Molecule: small RNA, 149 nt
Filed under: Fusobacterium animalis ATCC 51191
Lineage: Bacteria; Fusobacteriati; Fusobacteriota; Fusobacteriia; Fusobacteriales; Fusobacteriaceae
Also listed under: 1 other name
Rfam family: Bacterial large subunit ribosomal RNA
Source: RNAcentral
AAGGGCACACAAAGGAUGCCUAGGUAGUAAGAGCCGAUGAAGGACGUGGUAAGCUGCGAUAAGCCUAGAUAAGUUGCAAUCGAACGUAAGAGUCUAGGAUUUCCGAAUGGAGCAAUCUAUUAAGAUGGAGUCUUAAUACGAAAGAGGGA